RNAcentral lists this ribosomal RNA (425 nucleotides) under uncultured cyanobacterium. RNAcentral's name for it is "bacterial SSU rRNA". It matches the Rfam family "Bacterial small subunit ribosomal RNA", at positions 356 to 795 of the family's 1533-position model. Lineage: Bacteria; Bacillati; Cyanobacteriota. The record is from RNAcentral.
GGGGAAUUUUCCGCAAUGGGGGAAACCCUGACGGAGCAAUACCGCGUGGGGGAGGAAGGCCCUUGGGUUGUAAACCCCUUUUCUCAGGGAAGAACACAAUGACGGUACCUGAGGAAUCAGCCUCGGCUAACUCCGUGCCAGCAGCCGCGGUAAGACGGAGGAGGCAAGCGUUAUCCGGAAUUAUUGGGCGUAAAGCGUCUGUAGGUGGUUCCUUAAGUCCGCUGUCAAAUCCCAGGGCUCAACCCUGGACAGGCGGUGGAAACUAAUAAGCUGGAGUACGGUGGGGGCAGAGGGAAUUUCCGGUGGAGCGGUGAAAUGCGUAGAGAUCGGAAAGAACACCAAAGGCGAAGGCACUCUGCUGGGCCAUAACUGACACUGAUGGACGAAAGCUAGGGGAGCGAAAGGGAUUAGAUACCCCUGUAGUC